CGAUGAUCAGGAGCUUGCUCCUGUGAUUAGUGGCGAACGGGUGAGUAACACAUGAGUAACCUGCCCCUGACUCUGGGAUAAGCGUUGGAAACGACGUCUAAUACUGGAUACGACUGCCGGCCGCAUGGUCUGGUGGUGGAAAGAUUUUUUGGUUGGGGAUGGACUCGCGGCCUAUCAGCUUGUUGGUGAGGUAAUGGCUCACCAAGGCGACGACGGGUAGCCGGCCUGAGAGGGUGACCGGCCACACUGGGACUGAGACACGGCCCAGACUCCUACGGGAGGCAGCAGUGGGGAAUAUUGCACAAUGGGCGAAAGCCUGAUGCAGCAACGCCGCGUGAGGGAUGACGGCCUUCGGGUUGUAAACCUCUUUUAGUAGGGAAGAAGCGAAAGUGACGGUACCUGCNNAAAAAGCACCGGCUAACUACGUGCCAGCAGCCGCGGUAAUACGUAGGGUGCAAGCGUUGUCCGGAAUUAUUGGGCGUAAAGAGCUCGUAGGCGGUUUGUCGCGUCUGCUGUGA
Molecule: ribosomal RNA, 518 nt
Filed under: Curtobacterium sp. 1b
Lineage: Bacteria; Bacillati; Actinomycetota; Actinomycetes; Micrococcales; Microbacteriaceae
Description: bacterial SSU rRNA
Rfam family: Bacterial small subunit ribosomal RNA
Source: RNAcentral